Molecule: unclassified non-coding RNA, 243 nt
Filed under: uncultured fungus
Lineage: Eukaryota; Fungi
Description: partial contains 5.8S ribosomal RNA, internal transcribed spacer 2, and large subunit ribosomal RNA
Source: RNAcentral
AACGCACAUUGCGCCCGCUAGCAUUCUAGCAGGCAUGCCUGUCCGAGCGUCAUUUCACCGCUCAGGUUUUGACCUGGUGUUGGGGUUUCUGCGCUGUAGGCGCAGGCUCUGAAAUCCGUCGGCAGGCCUCUCGGAGUCUUUCAGCGUAGUGAUUUGCUCGCUCGGGUGCUCCGGCGGGGCUUGGCCCUUCUAUAACAACCAAGGCUUGACCUCGGAUCAGGCAGGACUACCCGCUGAACUUAA